GUUACCACCUGCUUACCUUUAUUUACCCUCUACAGCCUCAUCCAAACAGAGCCUUCAAGAGAAUCACACAUCAUCCGACCCAUCACUGCCCACAACACCAAAGACAAGGAGGCAAGGAGAGAACGACUAAUAUCUUUCGUUCUUUAUAUAUUACUCACUGAGAGAUCCCAUUUUCAUCAAAUCAAAAUUUCCCAGAUCCAAAAAUCGCUGCUCAUCUCCCCACUAACAAUGGGAUUCCCAUCAAACGGCACGGCAUCAGAUACCAGCAAGCCACUCAAGUUCCUCAUCUACGGCCGCACCGG
This 302-nucleotide unclassified non-coding RNA is filed under the name Hevea brasiliensis (rubber tree). Lineage: Eukaryota; Viridiplantae; Streptophyta; Magnoliopsida; Malpighiales; Euphorbiaceae. The record is from RNAcentral.